Molecule: unclassified non-coding RNA, 233 nt
Filed under: uncultured Psathyrella
Lineage: Eukaryota; Fungi; Basidiomycota; Agaricomycetes; Agaricales; Psathyrellaceae
Description: sequence contains ITS1
Source: RNAcentral
AUGAAUAACUAUGGUGUUGGUUGUUGCUGGCUUCUAGGAGCAGGUGCACGCCCGCCAUUCUUAUCUCUCCACCUGUGCACUUUAUGUAGGUCUGGAUAACUCUCGCUCUCGAGCGGAUGCAGGGACUGUUGCAUGCGACUCUCCUUGAAUUUCCAGAUCUAUGUAUUUUACAUACCCCAAUUGAAUGAUGUAGAAUGUAGUCAAUGGGCUAAUCAAGCCUAUAAAACACAAUA